This 477-nucleotide long non-coding RNA is filed under the name Bos taurus (domestic cattle). RNAcentral's name for it is "long non-coding RNA NONBTAT021820". The record is from RNAcentral. Lineage: Eukaryota; Metazoa; Chordata; Mammalia; Artiodactyla; Bovidae.
UGUCCUCUGUACUGUUAAUUUCAAAUGAAUGGAUAAUGUUAUGAGAUUAUUUCACCUAAGGUUAACCAGAAGGCGCAACCUGAAAGCAUCUGAAGGAAGGACAGACUCAUCAAGAUUACUUACUAACAAAAAAACAGGUUGAUCACACCUCUAGCCAAGGAAGGGAAGAAAGGAAGCAGUAAAUAUGCUUUCAAAGUACUGCAGCAUAAACUGGUGGCAAUGAGAUGGUUGAGUGGGCAGAGUGCUUCUGAUUGAAGCACAUUCUCUGUGGGUUGCAGUAACUCCCAGUUACUGAGGCAUCAUGUAAUGAAAGUACCGAACAUGCCACUGAUGUAUAGACACUGAAUAUUUUUUUACACCAGUUAUUUAAUUAUUAUUUUCCACUUGGGAAUAUUUCUUCAAUUUUCUAGUAGAAACAAUAGGAAAAAUAAUAAUAUUUUCUUCAUGGAAAAGCAUGACUUCACAGACAAAUCUUCC